This is a long non-coding RNA of Girardinichthys multiradiatus, 1690 nucleotides long. RefSeq lists it as uncharacterized. The record is from RefSeq and is a predicted model, not a curated record. Lineage: Eukaryota; Metazoa; Chordata; Actinopteri; Cyprinodontiformes; Goodeidae. The transcript is spliced from 5 exons.
CCUCUUUAGCUGUUUGGGAAAUCUCUCCCACUGCUGCACUCUGCCACCAUUUGAGCUGCUGUCUCCACAUCUUUGUUGUUAGCUUCUCUUCAAAAGGUCCUUUAACAGUUACUGAGUAGUUAUAACUCGGCUUCGAUCCAAACUCUAAGGAUGGAACAUUUGAAGCAAAGCUUCGAGGAGUUUACAGAGUAAAAAGGUUCGAUGCUUGUAAAUGCGGUAAACCACGUGACCGACGACAAACGAUGCCUCUUCUUCUUCUUCUUAUAAUGGCGGUUGGCAAACAACUGAAGGAGGCAUUACCGCCACCAACUGGCGUCCCAGCCUCACCCAGACUCUGCCUCCAGUGGCCCCCAGACUCCACGAUCUGUUAACACCAUUGAAUGACGAAGAUCUUGAUGAGAAAAUGACACAAAUUCUGCAACACCAGCCAAACUGUGGAUACAAAAUGAUGCUUCGGCACCUGAACUCACAGGGCAUCCACAUACAGAGAUUCCAUGCGGCGUGUGGAUCUUCGUGGAGUUUUGAUGCGGACCCUUCAGCUGAAUCCACGGAGACGGAGGAGGUACUCUGUGCCAGAACCAAACAGUUUGUGGCACAUAGAUGGCAAUCACAAACUGAUAAGACGGCGUAUUGUUGUGCAUGGUGGUACUGAUGGCUUUAGUCGCCUCAUCGUAUACCUGAGUGCCUCCAUCAACAACCGCGCAGCAACAGUCCUGAGCAGCUUUCUCAAAGCUGUUAACGUCUAUGGUGUACCAUCCCGUGUGAGAUCGGACAAAGGAGGGGAAAUGUUGCUCACUUCAUGGUGGUGUUGGACCACUUGUUUGCUGAAUAUUGGACUACUUGCACGGUACGGGACGCCACCAGGCCUCCUGGCGGUUUCGGCCAUUUUGUAUCCAGGACAUUGCGACUGAUAUGACGGGGCGCCCCAAGUCUGACGUCACAGGACGCUAUAUGUGGAGGCACCCAUUUUGAACACCUUGCCUUCAGCUGGAGAUCGUGACCCGAUCACCAACAUCUGAAGCAUCACCUGGAGAAGAGUCCCGAGUGGAUUUCAUUUAUUCUCUCUCUUUGGCCAACGAACAAUUCCUAACUGAGGUUUCUGGACUAGGAAGGCCAGAGAUUUCACUUUGCCGAUCGAAGACGUGAGUUUAACACGUAACUAAAAACACGGAGUUUUGAGGAGACGAAUCGUCACCGUGUUUUAUCCUAAGUCGACUUUGAUGGUCAGAUCAUGUUUAUCCCUUUUCGCCAAGGAGGCCAAAGGACGAAGACUGACCGCUUUCUUGGAGUUUAACUGCGGACGUGCAGCCACACUUCACCCCCCUUUUUCCCUCUCACUCGCUGCCCUAGAAGGAAACUUCACCAAGUAAAACCCAUCCUUUAUUUUAAUCUUUUUAUUUCUUUAUUAAGAAUAGCCGGGCAGGGUAGAGGAGAUUUUUAGUGCAGUUAGAAUCUAAUGUGUUCUGAAUGAUAUGUGCAUGUAACCUUGUUAUUGAAACUUUGAUGUGCCGUGUUGACAUCUGGAAGCCGCGGCGCUCCCGGCUCUGUGCGUGUUUUGUGGGGUAUUUACCACCUGAGAGCCACAGCGCAAGUGUGCUGUGAGACUGGACUGCUAAAAUAACCUUAUGGUGAAAUUCCCCAUUUUCUUUGUCUUCAACCUUACUGCUAGCUAGCUUGCCGCCAAAAGUUU